CUGCUGCAGAGGCCACAAUGAGAAGGAGGAUGCUUGCCACUCGUAGGUCCAUCUUGCAAGCUCAAACCUGCGGGGAAAAAGAAAAAGAUUGUCAGUGCAACUGUCUCACAGGAAUUGAUGUUUCUGGUUUCUCCGCCAUACUGACCGAGGCUCAACCCACACCCAAAGAGAAGAGCAUAAUUGGCGGUUGAUGUAAAGAGACCCAGCAAAGCACAAAAUUUCAGUAAGGGGACCACGGUGUGUGCUCCAACUACAGAGGGAUCAGCUAUGAACCUCACCGCACAUCACUGGGUUUCUGGGCCCGUCCCAUCAGAAGGAGACCCAGAAGAAGAACCAGGACACAUUGGAGGGGCUCUGCUUCCCGACUGGCCUUGGAACGCCUUAGGAUUCCCCUGCAAGUGCUGGCCUAGAGAGGGAAGUCUGGGAUUCUCUGCUUAUGCUGCUGCUCCUAAGGGGAAGAUAAUAAAUAAAUGCAUGACUGGCUCAUUGGAUGAAUGGAUAAUUGUGCCUGUCUGACAAUCAACAUCCUAAUAAAAUAGGUCAGCAUUAAAUUACAGUUAAAUUGAGUUUAAAACUCAGCAGGAUACUAAAUACUUUCUGACAUCAUUUUUAGUAAGAAGACUUUUCAAUUUGGACAUUUUGUAGAAAAUUGUGGAAGUUUUAGUGACAUAGAAUAACAUUUAAAAAUGAAUGGGUGGCUAACAGGCUUCUGCAGCUGCUGAAGGCAUGCAAAGGAGGUAAUGCAAUCAUUUGAAUCAGCUGUGACAUUCAGCAUUGAAUGCUCAAGGUUUAACUCAAGGUUGGACAUUGGACCCUGAGGACCAGGGUUGGGGUUCCCUGCCUUAGAGUAUAGCAAAUUUGUCCUUGGCAGCUGAGAGCUGUCAUAAAAAUAGAAGUUGCACAAAUAAAUACCUAAAGUUUCAUGUUUUUUUCCCCAUGUGCGUAUUGAGAGAGCAUUUUGCACCCUUUGAAAAUUGCCUUCUAGCUGCUUAAAUCCUCUUAAGUAUACACAUGUGUUGGAGUGUCAGACCACAAAGUGCAGGGCAAGCUGCUUUAUGUUGUGAAGCUUCAUGUUGGGUAAAAACUUUUCCAAUUCUUCUGUGUUCCCUCAGUAAUUAAAGUUUACAAAUCCUUAAAA
Molecule: long non-coding RNA, 1138 nt
Organism: Xiphophorus hellerii (green swordtail)
Lineage: Eukaryota; Metazoa; Chordata; Actinopteri; Cyprinodontiformes; Poeciliidae
Exons: 4
Source: RefSeq, a predicted model, not a curated record